ACGCAGCGAAAUGCGAUACCUAGUGUGAAUUGCAGAAUUCCGUGAAUCAUCGAGUUUUUGAACGCAAGUUGCGCCCGAGGCUCGUCCGAGGGCAUGCCUGCCUGAGCGUCCGC
This 113-nucleotide ribosomal RNA is filed under the name Cololejeunea hasskarliana. RNAcentral describes it as "5.8S ribosomal RNA". It matches the Rfam family "5.8S ribosomal RNA", at positions 43 to 154 of the family's 154-position model. Rfam says of the family: 5.8S ribosomal RNA (5.8S rRNA) is a component of the large subunit of the eukaryotic ribosome. It is transcribed by RNA polymerase I as part of the 45S precursor that also contains 18S and 28S rRNA. RNAcentral also lists the same sequence under 1 other name. Lineage: Eukaryota; Viridiplantae; Streptophyta; Jungermanniopsida; Porellales; Lejeuneaceae. The record is from RNAcentral.